This 158-nucleotide ribosomal RNA is filed under the name Inocybe aff. asterospora PBM-2014. RNAcentral describes it as "5.8S ribosomal RNA". The record is from RNAcentral. Lineage: Eukaryota; Fungi; Basidiomycota; Agaricomycetes; Agaricales; Inocybaceae.
CAUGUGCACGCUUGUCAUCUUUUGUUUCUCCAACUAUGUGCACACAUUGUAGGCAUCCCCUUUGUUUAUAAAGUCUUUUUUGUAUGGAUUUGAUUGAGGAUUGCUAUGCUUUCCUUGUCAGAGGGGGGGCUUAUUCUUCAUUUACCUUGUUGUUGUUU